CCUACGGGAGGCAGCAGUGGGGAAUAUUGGACAAUGGGCGAAAGCCUGAUCCAGCCAUGCCGCGUGUGUGAAGAAGGUCUUCGGAUUGUAAAGCACUUUAAGUUGGGAGGAAGGGCAUUAACCUAAUACGUUAGUGUUUUGACGUUACCCGACAGAAUAAGCCCCG
RNAcentral lists this ribosomal RNA (166 nucleotides) under uncultured bacterium. RNAcentral's name for it is "partial 16S ribosomal RNA". It matches the Rfam family "Bacterial small subunit ribosomal RNA", at positions 338 to 495 of the family's 1533-position model. The record is from RNAcentral.